UACUCUACUUGCCUCCCACACUGGCUAUAAAAUUCUUCUGUUCUCUUUCUACCUUCUUAGUUGCAGUGUAUGAGUAGUGUUAAAUAGUAUGCGUUAAUAUACAUUUACAUUGAUGUACUAUGUAUACAUGUACAUAUAAUAGUUGACCGAUUAUACGACAAGAUUUUUUACUGUGCAGUAAUAGACGCGGAUCGCCAUUUUUUGGAGCAUUGAUCGUGUAAAAAAUAGGUUCUAAAGUGGAAAAAAUAGGUGAUGAAUUUAACUGUAGUAAGUUUAAACCUCGGACCACCUAAUAGGUGGUAACCUGAAGAUAUAAAGCAUUAACCUAUCAAAUGAUAUGCUCAAUAAUGAAGUAGUAAGGCUAAUAAGCAGAUGAUUCUGGAUUAAACUAGAGCUUCUGGAUUAUCAAUGGAAGUAAAUUAAGAAAAACACACCUAAAUGCCAUUCAUUAAUCUUGCAUAGCACCUGCAAAAACUUGCGGCCAACAAUUGAUAAAAAAUGGCCACUAAUCAAGUCGAUUAUCAGUGGGCCUAUUCCAUUAUGGAUUCGUCCAGGGUUUCUACUUUUUUAAUAUCAAUUUUGUUAAUUGUUUAUGGAAGUUUUCGAUCAUUGAAUAUGGAACAAGAGGCAAGAGAAAGGGAAAAAGAAAAAGAGCGAAAAAAUUUACUUACGGGAUUGACAAGUGGUACCAAUAGUACAGAUAGCAGUAAUAAUGGUGUUCAAACCCUGGAUACUAUGCACGCUCUUUGUCUACCUCUUGGUGCUUCCAUAUCCCUUCUUAUUAUGUUUUUCUUCUUCGACAGUAUGCAAAUGUUAUUUGCUAUUUGUACAGCAAUUAUAGCGACAGUUGCAUUGGCAUUUCUCCUCUUGCCAAUGUGCCAGUAUAUCAUACGACCAUGCUCAGACGGAAACAAAAUUUCAUUCGGCGUUUGCGGCAGGUUUACUGGUGCUGAACUGUUAUCAUUCUCACUUAGUGUGAGCAUAGUUUGUAUUUGGGUACUAACCGGUCACUGGUUACUGAUGGACGCAAUGGGUAUGGGUCUUUGUGUUGCCUUCAUAGCAUUUGUACGAUUACCUAGCCUAAAGGUAUCCACACUUUUACUCACUGGACUACUUAUAUAUGAUGUCUUUUGGGUCUUUUUUUCAUCUUAUAUAUUUAGUACAAAUGUUAUGGUUAAAGUGGCCACGAGACCAGCAGAUAAUCCAGUAGGUUUAGUAGCACGACGACUACACCUUGGCGGUGUAGCUCGUGAAGCCCCAAAGCUCUCUUUACCAGGGAAACUAGUUUUUCCAUCAAUACAUCAAGCUGGGCAUUUUUCAAUGCUUGGUCUUGGAGAUGUAGUUAUGCCUGGACUAUUGCUUUGUUUUGUUCUACGAUAUGAUGCUUACAAAAAAAGUCAGCUCAUUCCUGGCGGCUGUGAGGCUGGUGUACCACCUCCAAGACAUUUAAGUCGUAUUAGUUACUUCCAUUGCUCACUUAUUGGUUAUUUUCUCGGUUUACUCACUGCCACUGUUAGCUCCGAGGUUUUUAAAGCAGCACAACCCGCCUUACUUUAUCUUGUACCAUUUACGCUUUUACCAUUACUUACCAUGGCAUACCUUAAGGGAGAUUUACGGCGUAUGUGGAGCGAACCAUUUAUAACACACGUACCAUCAAAGCAUUUGGAGGUCUGACGAAUAUCUUAGAAUUGCACAUUUCAAGUAUUUCGCUAUAAGAACAAAAAUAAUGAAUGCGUGUUUAACGUCAUGUUACAAAUACUCCAAUUAUUCAUUGGUACCAUUGUGUAUUGGAAAAAUUAAAAAUAGUUUUUUUCUUAGCAGGAAGUAAUACAUUACACCGAACAAAAGGAAAAUU
This 1855-nucleotide unclassified non-coding RNA is filed under the name Chelonus insularis. RNAcentral describes it as "signal peptide peptidase-like 3, transcript variant X3". Lineage: Eukaryota; Metazoa; Arthropoda; Insecta; Hymenoptera; Braconidae. The record is from RNAcentral.